This 1099-nucleotide long non-coding RNA is filed under the name Lynx pardinus (Iberian lynx). Lineage: Eukaryota; Metazoa; Chordata; Mammalia; Carnivora; Felidae. The record is from RNAcentral.
CCACAGUACAGUUUAACAGAGAAGGCCGUGGUUCCAGGAAAGGGAAGGGGUGACCCUUACCACCUAUUGUGCUGCAGGGCCCUUGCCCUUAUCUGCUCUCUUCCAGGAGCAUCUGCUAGAACAAAUAGAAACUCCUCUCCCCCUGUUCUCCUGUGCCCAGAUUGUGGGGCAUAACUGCUUUGCCUCCAGUCAUCAUCGGGGGGCAUAUCUACUCUUCGAGGACCAGGGGCUCGAGACCCAGGAGUUGGACCCAAAUUCCAAGCUGACCUCAGAGGUUCAUGAAGAUUGCUUGAUGGUGGAGACACAGGGUGAACAAUGGGAGGGUGGGAGGAUGAAUGGAAAAGAUCCCCCCAGGACUGAGCAUGAGGAACCUGAAGGCCCUGGCGCCUUUCUGGUAGUGUGGCAGUGUGUGUCAGUUGAGGCGUGCACCCUGGAGUACUCAGGAAUCUGGCCCCAAUAUGCUGGUUGGUCUCUGACCAUGGUCCCCAAGAGGCAUCUAUUCUGGAAGGAUGGGGGAGACUCUGGUAGUUCAGAGUCCUUCCUGUGUGCUUGACCCCCUGGCAAGUUUCACCCCUGUCACACAUAGCCAGAAACUGCUGGACACUCCUCGAAGUUCCUGAAAAGAGAAAAAGAAACCCAAAUAUUAAGCAUCUUCAGUAAACCAUUCUCCUUCCCAGAGGAUCAUUCCUGGCUGUACCUCUCAACUCCCCACACCUCCAAGAGCAUACACCUCAGGGGAAGAAGACUAGCUUUGCUUUUAAUUUCAUUUUUAAGAAUUCUUAAUAUACAUCAAAAUCAAGUCUCUUCCCUCCUACCUGGGUAAAUGUUGCCAUACUUCCACUUUACUCCACUAUAAUUCUUCCUCCACUCCCUCCCCAGGAAUGCCUCCCUAAUAUUGCAAAUGUAUACUCAGUGUAACAACUCUACUCUUAGAGCCACCACUCCAAAACAUCACUCUGCUUUUUCAAUUUGGUACCUUCACUCUAGUUAAUGUUUCUGCUUACAUUCUUGCUCAGUCUCUGAGAUCUCUUGUUUUUGUUCACACACUCCUACCACAUAUAUAGUGUGGAAUGCCUUUUCUACACAUCAAUUCCCCUUU